This 750-nucleotide ribosomal RNA is filed under the name Halomonas sp. SSL5. RNAcentral's name for it is "bacterial SSU rRNA". It matches the Rfam family "Bacterial small subunit ribosomal RNA", at positions 624 to 1373 of the family's 1533-position model. Lineage: Bacteria; Pseudomonadati; Pseudomonadota; Gammaproteobacteria; Oceanospirillales; Halomonadaceae. The record is from RNAcentral.
CAUCCGGAACUGUUUGGCUAGAGUGCAGGAGAGGAAGGUAGAAUUCCCGGUGUAGCGGUGAAAUGCGUAGAGAUCGGGAGGAAUACCAGUGGCGAAGGCGGCCUUCUGGACUGACACUGACACUGAGGUGCGAAAGCGUGGGUAGCAAACAGGAUUAGAUACCCUGGUAGUCCACGCCGUAAACGAUGUCGACUAGCCGUUGGGCUCUUCGCGAGCUUAGUGGCGCAGUUAACGCGAUAAGUCGACCGCCUGGGGAGUACGGCCGCAAGGUUAAAACUCAAAUGAAUUGACGGGGGCCCGCACAAGCGGUGGAGCAUGUGGUUUAAUUCGAUGCAACGCGAAGAACCUUACCUACUCUUGACAUCCUGCGAAUUUGGUAGAGAUACCUUGGUGCCUUCGGGAACGCAGAGACAGGUGCUGCAUGGCUGUCGUCAGCUCGUGUUGUGAAAUGUUGGGUUAAGUCCCGUAACGAGCGCAACCCUUGUCCUUAUUUGCCAGCGCGUAAUGGCGGGAACUCUAAGGAGACUGCCGGUGACAAACCGGAGGAAGGUGGGGACGACGUCAAGUCAUCAUGGCCCUUACGAGUAGGGCUACACACGUGCUACAAUGGUCGGUACAAAGGGUUGCGAUCCUCGCGAGAGCAAGCCAAUCCCGAAAAGCCGAUCUCAGUCCGGAUCGGAGUCUGCAACUCGACUCCGUGAAGUCGGAAUCGCUAGUAAUCGUGGAUCAGAUUGCCACGGUGAUACGUUC